UUGAGAGUUUGAUCCUGGCUCAGAACGAACGCUGGCGGCAGGCUUAACACAUGCAAGUCGAACGCACUCUUCGGAGUGAGUGGCAGACGGGUGAGUAACGCGUGGGAACGUGCCCAUCGGUACGGAAUAGCUCCGGGAAACUGGAAUUAAUACCGUAUACGUCCUUCGGGAGAAAGAUUUAUCGCCGAUGGAUCGGCCCGCGUUAGAUUAGGUAGUUGGUAGGGUAAUGGCCUACCAAGCCUACGAUCUGUAGCUGGUCUGAGAGGAUGAUCAGCCACACUGGGACUGAGACACGGCCCAGAC
Molecule: ribosomal RNA, 303 nt
Filed under: Symbiodinium sp. CCMP2430
Lineage: Eukaryota; Dinophyceae; Suessiales; Symbiodiniaceae
Description: partial Bacterial small subunit ribosomal RNA
Rfam family: Bacterial small subunit ribosomal RNA
Source: RNAcentral